This 301-nucleotide ribosomal RNA is filed under the name uncultured bacterium. Its description in RNAcentral is "partial 16S ribosomal RNA". It matches the Rfam family "Bacterial small subunit ribosomal RNA", at positions 509 to 809 of the family's 1533-position model. The record is from RNAcentral.
CAGCAGCCGCGGGAAUACGAAGGGGGCUAGCGUUGUUCGGAAUUACUGGGCGUAAAGCGCACGUAGGCGGAUCGAUCAGUCAGGGGUGAAAUCCCAGGGCUCAACCCUGGAACUGCCUUUGAUACUGUCGAUCUGGAGUAUGGAAGAGGUGAGUGGAAUUCCGAGUGUAGAGGUGAAAUUCGUAGAUAUUCGGAGGAACACCAGUGGCGAAGGCGGCUCACUGGUCCAUUACUGACGCUGAGGUGCGAAAGCGUGGGGAGCAAACAGGAUUAGAGACCCCAGUAGUCCCUGUCUCUUAUAA